RNAcentral lists this ribosomal RNA (520 nucleotides) under uncultured Glomus. RNAcentral's name for it is "SSU rRNA". It matches the Rfam family "Eukaryotic small subunit ribosomal RNA", at positions 569 to 1084 of the family's 1831-position model. Lineage: Eukaryota; Fungi; Glomeromycota; Glomeromycetes; Glomerales; Glomeraceae. The record is from RNAcentral.
AGCAGCCGCGGUAAUUCCAGCUCCAAUAGCGUAUAUUAAAGUUGCUGCAGUUAAAAAGCUCGUAGUUGAAUUUCGGGACCAUCAUGUCGGUCGUGCCUCGGUACGUACUGGUAUUGUUGGUUUCUCCCUUCUGACGAACCAUGAUGUCAUUUAUUUGGUGUUGUGGGAAAUCAGGACUGUUACUUUGAAAAAAUUAGAGUGUUUAAAGCAGGCUCACGCUUGAAUACAUUAGCAUGGAAUAAUGAAAUAGGACGUUUGAUUCUAUUUUGUUGGUUUCUAGGAUCGACGUAAUGAUUAAUAGGGAUAGUUGGGGGCAUUAGUAUUCAAUUGUCAGAGGUGAAAUUCUUGGAUUUAUUGAAGACUAACUACUGCGAAAGCAUUUGCCAAGGAUGUUUUCAUUAAUCAAGAACGAAAGUUAGGGGAUCGAAGACGAUCAGAUACCGUCGUAGUCUUAACCAUAAACUAUGCCGACUAGGGAUCGGAGUGAUUAGUUUAAUUUUUUUAAUUGUACUCAUUCGGU